AUGGCCAAGAUGAACAAGCUGCGACAGGGGUACUUCAAAUAUGCCAAGCAUCACACAGAUGCGGAGGCUGAAGCGGUCCUCUUGACUGAGAUAUUCAGAGCUCAAGGGAAGGAGGUGCUGCCGCGAGGUACAUAUGAGCUCGAGGAUCCUACUGUUAAGAUGCCAGGGACGGAAUUCAUGGAGAAAAUAUCAAUACUGCUGGAGUAUUUCAUCCGUGAACGGUUGAAGAUGGACCCUGAGUGGAAAGACAUCAAGGUCGGUCGUUGCUUGAUGAGUUCCCCAUGUCUCCUCUUUCUGAAGGUAAUAUUAUCUGAUGCAAAUGUUCCUGGAGAAGGGGAGCACAAGAUCAUGUCCUUCAUUCGGGCACAACGGAGCACGGAAAACUAUGAUCCGAACACCCGUCAUUGUAUGCAUGGGCAUGAUGCAGAUCUCAUAAUGCUCGCUUUGGCAUCUCACGAAGUCCACAUUUCAAUUUUGCGGGAGGUCAAUCCAAAUGGCAGGAUACCGGCAAGACUGUAUCAGUUUGUGAACAUAUGGGUUCUGAGAGAGUACUUGGAAAUUGAAAUGAAGGCACCAGAUUGCAACCAAGAUAUUGAGAGACUAAUAGAUGACUUUAUCCUUAUUUGUUUCUUGACGGGAAACGAUUUCAUUCCACGGAUUCCUUCACUAGAGAUAAAUGAAUUUGCAGUUGAUCUUCUCAUUGAAGUGUACAAGACAACCUUCAACAAAAUGGGGGGCUAUAUUAUCAACACAGACAAAAUCAAUGAUAAAAACGGCACGUAUCUGGAAGUCUCGAGGUUGGAAAAGUUCCUUCAUGAGUUGUCCUUGUGCGAAGAGAGAAUUUUACUCAAAAGAUAUGAACUUCGAGAGAAGUUACUGUGCAAGAUACAGCGUGAAGCUGCGGAAGACAAAUGGGCCAAGGGAGAGGACAGGGCCGAGAAGAAAACGUCCUCCGCGCAAGUUUAUUUGUAUCCUGUGGAGACUCGGCUUGAAAAAAAGUCUAAUGACGUGGUCAGAAAGAAUACCAGGGAGCUGUGGAGAACUGUUAAUGACAUUUGCCGUAGUAAGGAUGACCUUUCUAAAAAUGGAGCCUGCAAACAAGAGAGGAUAAGACUGGGGUGGAAAUCCCAGUUCUACACAGAGAAAUUUGGUGCCGAAACUUCUAAUGAAGUUGGAAGGCUGCAGACUGAAAUGGUUCAGAAGUAUUUAGAAGGAUUAUGUUGGGUGCUACAAUGCUAUUUUUCUGAAGUUCCUUCAUGGACUUGGUGCUACCCAUUCAAUUAUGCUCCUUUCGCAUCUGAUUUCAAAUAUCUGUCUCAAUUCAAGACAUCUUUCACCAUGGACAAACCACUAAGAGCAUUUGAUCAGCUCAUGGCAGUUUUGCCACCAGAAAAGCAUGUUUUGUCAUGUGCCCUUCCAAAAUGUUACAGCAAAUUAAUAGGCUGUGAAGAUUCCAUAAUACAAAUAUUCUAUCCGUCAGAGUUCGAGAUUGAUUCAGAUGGGAAACGUUUCUUGUCGCAAGGCAUUGCAAAGUUGCCAUUCAUAGAUAAGGAACUGCUGCUUUCAGCCACCAAAAUGGUAGAGAAAGAUCUCACGGAGGAUGAAAUGAGACUUAAUGAUGUUCGGCAAGAGAGGAUCUUCCUGAGGAACUCACACAGUCUGGCAAAUAAUGCAGCAUUUGUGCCAGCAAUGUCCGACUAUCCGCAGGAAAAGCUUUGGAUGGACACUAGUGAAAUCGGAGGAUGGCUCUCACCAGAUGAGGGGGCUCAGAGCUUUGCAUCAAGAAAAAACAAGGUUCAAUACGUGUCGAUGUCAAUAAGCGAUAUAGAUAUGACAGUAUCAGCAAUGUUCUUUAACCCUGAGGCAGUGAAGCCGAUUUCAAGAUUACUUGACAAUGUCAUAGUGCCUGACAAGACUAUAACUGAAGCGGACAUUCGGAAGAGACCGAUGUGGCACACGUACCCGGGUCCAAGGCCAAGACCGCCGCAUAUCACCCACAGGCCAGAGACCCUGUGCAGGGCGAGCUCGACGGCGACACCGAGGGAAGAGCAUAAGCUAGCCGGGGAGGGGUGGCUGGGACGGGGGAGAGGAAGCGCCCCCGCCCCCGCCGCCCCCGCUUCCCAGACACGGCAGAUCGGGCCGAGCGGCUACGGGAGAGGUUCCCAUGGUGUGGACAUGGCGCAGAGCCGAGGCGGCCGGUUCGACGGCGGUGAUGAGUGGGCAGGAGGAGGAGGAGGCGGCGGCGGCACGGUGAAGAGGCCGGAGACGGAGGGGCGGCCCGUUGGGUUGUGGGCGAGAGGAGGCGGCCGUCGCGGGAGCGGGCCAGCCCGCGCGCGGUAG
RNAcentral lists this ribosomal RNA (2340 nucleotides) under Triticum aestivum (bread wheat). Its description in RNAcentral is "partial small subunit ribosomal RNA". Lineage: Eukaryota; Viridiplantae; Streptophyta; Magnoliopsida; Poales; Poaceae. The record is from RNAcentral.